Molecule: non-coding RNA, 105 nt
Organism: Aplosporella prunicola CBS 121167
Lineage: Eukaryota; Fungi; Ascomycota; Dothideomycetes; Botryosphaeriales; Aplosporellaceae
Source: the annotation of a RefSeq genome assembly
GGCACUUUGGCGGAGUGGUUAACGCGCUGGCCUGCUAUCCUUCUCUUCGAGGAAGCAGCUAAGCCAGUUCCUUCGGGAGCGUGAGUUCGAAUCUCACAGGUGUCG